Eubalaena glacialis (North Atlantic right whale) is the source of this 396-nucleotide long non-coding RNA. RefSeq lists it as uncharacterized. The transcript is spliced from 4 exons. The record is from RefSeq and is a predicted model, not a curated record. Lineage: Eukaryota; Metazoa; Chordata; Mammalia; Artiodactyla; Balaenidae.
GGCAGAAGAAAAAUGACUCCAUGUGGAAGCAGAGAUGUGCCCAAGAGCAACAAAAAUGGAAUUAAAGAUUAUAUUUUGGAGAACAAAGUAACAAUCUCUGUGGAACAUUUGCCUUAAAAUAUGUGUUUAUUAAACACCAACCUGAACAGGAUUAUCCAUUUCCAUAUAAGUCUUUACAUUUAAAAGAGGGUGGACUCCCCAUUCUUCACUCAGCAACCAGAGUUGCUGAAAGGCAGGUCUUACUGAUGCUCCGAGAGCUGAAAAUGUGAGAAGGUGAUGAAAUGGACCAGAGUACUCCUUGCCAGCGGGACACAGGGCUUUCCAAUUUUACAGAGUACAUAUUGACUUUCCCCUUGAAUAAACUGGAACACUCAUAUUUUCUCCCCCUUUCCUCCU